RNAcentral lists this ribosomal RNA (497 nucleotides) under uncultured bacterium. RNAcentral's name for it is "partial 16S ribosomal RNA". It matches the Rfam family "Bacterial small subunit ribosomal RNA", at positions 28 to 507 of the family's 1533-position model. The record is from RNAcentral.
GAUGAACGCUGGCGGCGUGCCUAAUACAUGCAAGUCGAGCGAACAGACGAGGAGCUUGCUCCUCUGACGUUAGCGGCGGACGGGUGAGUAACACGUGGAUAACCUACCUAUAAGACUGGGAUAACUUCGGGAAACCGGAGCUAAUACCGGAUAAUAUAUUGAACCGCAUGGUUCAAUAGUGAAAGACGGUUUUGCUGUCACUUAUAGAUGGAUCCGCGCCGCAUUAGCUAGUUGGUAAGGUAACGGCUUACCAAGGCAACAAUGCGUAGCCGACCUGAGAGGGUGAUCGGCCACAAUGGAACUGAGACACGGUCCAGACUCCUACGGGAGGCAGCAGUAGGGAAUCUUCCGCAAUGGGCGAAAGCCUGACGGAGCAACGCCGCGUGAGUGAUGAAGGUCUUCGGAUCGUAAAACUCUGUUAUUAGGGAAGAACAAAUGUGUAAGUAACUAUGCACGUCUUGACGGUACCUAAUCAGAAAGCCACGGCUAACUACGUG